AACGAACGCUGGCGGCAUGCCUAACACAUGCAAGUCGAACGAAGCCUUCGGGCUUAGUGGCGCACGGGUGCGUAACACGUGGGAAUCUGCCCUUCGGUUCGGAAUAACAGUUAGAAAUGACUGCUAAUACCGGAUGAUGACGAAAGUCCAAAGAUUUAUCGCCGAAGGAUGAGCCCGCGUAGGAUUAGGUAGUUGGUAGGGUAAUGGCCUACCAAGCCGACGAUCCUUAGCUGGUCUGAGAGGAUGAUCAGCCACACUGGGACUGAGACACGGCCCAGACUCCUACGGGAGGCAGCAGUGGGAAUAUUGGACAAUGGGCGAAAGCCUGAUCCAGCAAUGCCGCGUGAGUGAUGAAGGCCUUAGGUUGUAAAGCUCUUUUACCAGGGAUGAUAAUGACAGUACCUGGAGAAUAAGCUCCGGCUAACUCCGUGCCAGCAGCCGCGGUAAU
RNAcentral lists this ribosomal RNA (448 nucleotides) under uncultured bacterium. Its description in RNAcentral is "bacterial SSU rRNA". It matches the Rfam family "Bacterial small subunit ribosomal RNA", at positions 29 to 524 of the family's 1533-position model. The record is from RNAcentral.